RNAcentral lists this ribosomal RNA (253 nucleotides) under uncultured bacterium. Its description in RNAcentral is "partial 16S ribosomal RNA". It matches the Rfam family "Bacterial small subunit ribosomal RNA", at positions 524 to 776 of the family's 1533-position model. The record is from RNAcentral.
UACGGGGGGGGCAAGCGUUGUUCGGAAUUACUGGGCGGAAAGGAUUUGUAGGUGGCUCGCUAAGUCAGACGUGAAAUCCCUCAGCUUAACUGGGGAACUGCGUCUGAGACUGGCAAGCUUGAGUGCAGGAGAGGAACGCGGAAUUCCAGGUGUAGCGGUGAAAUGCGUAGAUAUCUGGAGGAACACCGGUGGCGAAGGCGGCGUUCUGGACUGUAACUGACACUGAGGAACGAAAGCCAGGGGAGCAAACGGG